Molecule: small nucleolar RNA, 138 nt
Filed under: Phascolarctos cinereus (koala)
Lineage: Eukaryota; Metazoa; Chordata; Mammalia; Diprotodontia; Phascolarctidae
Source: RNAcentral
UCCCUUUUGAAAGCACUUUACGGGUCUCUUCAGUGACCUGGGAAGUCGUCCAGAAAGGGCAGAAUAUAACAGAACCAUCACUUUUGGGUGAGGUGACAGCUGGAUGUGCUGUUGGUCUCAAUCAGUGUUGUGACAGGU